UGAAAAAAGAAAGUACAAGAUCAACUCAGUGAGGUGGGUGGCAUUGCUAAAAUAAAGGGGAGGGAGAGGUGGAAAACAUGCUCACCACUGGGAAUUGAGGGCUUUAACAGGUGUAGAGGAAACGAGUCAGAUUAGUCUGAGACAGUCGAGAAAUCUAGAGGAAGCUUUGGCUAUAGAUUAUGUGGCUCUAAAUGAGAACCCCCCAGAGAUUUCCAAAAGCUUGGCUAAGUAGGUUAGCUUAAGAGAUGAUAGGAGAUGGGAAGUUUGAAUUCACUGUGGUCCUCCACAGAGGAGUGCAGGGAGGCUGGAAUUCCACCAGGAAAGCAGAUAUACAGCGAAUGCAGGUGCUCCACAGAUCUUUGGGGAUCAUAGUUUUCUACUAUGAUAGUUUUCUACUAUGAUAGUUUUCUACUUUCUAAGAGUGCAGAAACUUCACUUUGCGGCACAGACGUUGAGUCAUUGGGUUAAUGCUGUUUGGUUGUAAGAUAGCCUUUAAUCUACUCACAUUGGCACGCCCGUCACGAAUGCUGUGCUUGAUUUCUGCGGGUUAAGUAUCGAAUGGAUGGCGAUGUUGCUAAAACUGUGUGUCACGUGGACGAAAAAGCAAAGGACAUUGAACAUGCGAAGAAAGUGUCGCAGCAAGUCACUAAGGUUUUAUACAAGCAGAACUGGGAAGACACCAACGAUGAGUACCUGCGUCCCCCUGAUGCCCCUGAGCUUGUCCAGGCAGUUAAGAACACAGCCAUGUGUGGGAAGAAACUGUACACUGAGGACUGGGAAGCUGACAAAAGCUUGUUUUACGCGUACAACGAUAGCCCAGAGCUGAGACGGGUGGCCCAGGCCCAGAAAGCCCUCAGUGAUAGGAAAUACCAGGAAGACUUUGAGAAUAUGAAAGACCAGAUCUACUUCACGUAGACCGAAACACCAGAGUACAAAGUGAAUAAACAAGCUGGAGUGGCAGCUAGCAAGGUAAAAUACAAAGAAGACUCUGAAAAGAAUAAAGGAAAGCCUGAUUAUAAUGUACUUCCUGCCUCAGAGAACCCACUGCUCAAGCAGCUGAAGGCGGCAGGAAAUGCCCUGAGUGAUGUAAUAAGUUUGUUUCAAAAAGAAUUCACUGUUGCUCAGAAGAUUCCUGUCUGUUGCACCAUCAGUGAAAGACGAGUCUGAGUUGAGGGAGAGCGGAUGUAGCAGUCCUGAAGUACACACAAAUCUCCACAACUAAGGGCUUGGUCUGAGGAACCAUACAAGGAAAACUAUGAAAAGACCGAGGCAAAGAGCAUAAAUUACUGUGAAACCCCCAAAUUCCAACUUGAUACAGUUCUGCACAACUUCACUAGUGAUACCAAAUACAAAGAUUCCUACUUAAAGAAUAUUUUGGGACACUAUGUGGGCAGCUUUGAGGAUCCAUAUCAUACACACUGCAUGAAAGUUGCAGCUCAAAACAGCGAUAACAACUACAAAGCAGAAUUCGAAGAAGACCGAGGCAAAGGCUUCUUCCCCCAGAGUAUAACUCAAAAAAAUGAAACAAUCGAGAAGCUGGAUCCAUGUAAAGAUCACACCUACAAAGUCCAUCCAGAUAAAACAAACUUCACUCAAGUCACCGACUCUCCUGUGCUGGUGCAAGCCCAAGUCAAUUCCAAGCAACUGAGUGAUGAAAGCAUGAAAGUGAAAAGUUCAAGUGCCACAUACCUCCAGAUACUCCUGCCCUCCUCCAGCACAAAGUCAAUGCUUAUAACCUGAGUGAUGGAAGCUCCUAUAUACUAUGAGAGAUUAUAGAGGGGAAAGCUAUGAGAAGACAAAAGCAAAGAGCAGGAACUACUGUGAGACCCCUAAAUACCAACUUGACACUCUGCUGAAGAACUUCAGCGAGACUAAAUACAAACAUUCCUAUGUACAGAACGUCUUGGGCCAUUACGUGGGCAGCUUCAAGGACCCAUAUCAAAUACACUGCAUGAAAGUCUCCACUCCCAACAGUGACAUUAAGUUGAAGACCAUUGUUCCUGUCUCUCGAUGACAUUCUUUGGGGCAUACGUGGAAAGUUCAUCCAGAUAAGACCAAAUUCACGGCCGUCACCGACACUCCUGUACUGUUGCAAGCCCAACUCAACACGAAACAGCUUAGCGAUCUGAAUUACAAAGCAAAACGUGAAAGUGAGAAGUUCAAGUGCAGCGUACCAGCAGAUGCUCCACAGUUUAUCCAGCACAGAGUCAAUGCCUAUAACUUAAGUGAUAAUAUCUAUAAACAUGACUGGGAGAAGAGCAAAGCAAAGCAGUUUGACAUGAAAGUGGACGCCAUCCCCCUGCUGGCAGCCGAAGCCAACAGCAGGAUCGCCAGGGAUGAGAGUAUGGCCUGGGCACCCGGGCAGGGGACCCCAGUGACGCUGCCUGAUGGGUGGGAUCUGGCAUGUGUGAUGUUUUCAUAGGUGAUGUACAAGAAAGACUAUGAUAAAAGCAAAGGAAAGAUGAUUGGAGCCCUGAGCAUUAAUGAUGAUCCCAAGAUGCUGCAUUCUUUGAAGAGAGCCAAAAAACCAGAGUGAUGUCUUUGUAGAUCUAUCUUGCUUUCAAGGUGACGUCCCUCUUAAUAUGCCCAAGGGGUUGGUAGCGCGUAAAAGGAUUCCAUAUCCAUGGGCUCUAUCAUGUUCACAACAGACUGCUGGGAAUGAACAUUAGAAGUAGAAUGGUU
This is a long non-coding RNA of Canis lupus familiaris (dog), 2682 nucleotides long. RefSeq lists it as uncharacterized. The record is from RefSeq and is a predicted model, not a curated record. The transcript is spliced from 16 exons. Lineage: Eukaryota; Metazoa; Chordata; Mammalia; Carnivora; Canidae.